AUUAAUUACUGUGGAGAUUUGUUUUAUCUCUUCUUAUUUAUUCACAGGGAAAACCCAUUUUGUAAUUCAAGCUUUUCAAUAAGAAAACUUCGAUUAAUAUUCUCAAUUUUGUCUUUUUACUUAACCUGAAACCCUGAAUCUUAAAUCGAAAACCCAUGUUUCUGAAACCCUAAAUCUUAAAUCUAAAACCCCUAAUUCAUUAUAUGAAGGAGUUAACGAAUGUCUAGAGAGUCUUUAGAAGAGCAGAUUUAGAUCAGGAUGUCACAUUUAGUCACAAGAACUGCCACCACCUCAGCAUACAACCAGUGGUGGUACUGGUGGGGUUGGUUAUGUUAAUACCAUUAACAACAUCUUCUCCUUCUAUCCUUACAGAUGGAAACAAAUAUAGCUUAUUAUGUUGGUGCAAUGCAGAGACGGGGUUGUUUGAAAGCAGCUAACUCAUAUUGUUCAUCUUGUUGAGGUUAAUGAACUUGUUUCUGACAUGUAAUGCCACAUGAAGUGACCUUCAUAUUCACAAACGAUGAGUCCCUAUUUCCCUAACAAAGCCUCCUACAUCGAUUAUAUUGUUUGGAUGAAUCUGCUUUUUUAUCUGUAUGGUUAAACACAUUGAGUUUCUGUAUUUGCGUUAGAUCUUAUAAAUGAUUUCAGUGCUACAGAUACUGCGACCAACUGUUACACAUUCAGAUAAGCAAGAUGGGAAACUGAAGGAUGAGGAUGGGAAACUAUGCUGCAUACUUGUUUUAUCAAGCAAAUAAAAUUUCUUGAUUGCUGAUGCUGACAGUAGUUUAUUGGUUGCUUUGUUGAUGUUAGGUAACAAGAAUUCAAGGAGGAAAUCAAGAAGGAGAAUUUGUUAGAGUGAGGUUAGCCGGGGUAUUGUUCAAAUCCAUUGUCCGGAAGAUGUGCUAGAUGCGCUAUGCUAUUAUAGUGUUCAAAUCACCACAGUGUAUGAUGGCUGCUAGUGGUGCUUAUGUCAUGUUUUCAAAUUUUUGGUGCAACUAUGUUGAUAAUAUUCAAUGUGUGAGAAUUUAUUUUUAUGUUUCCAGAUUUAUAUGUACAUACGCAAGAGUCAAAUUGUUUUGUAACAUUUGAUGAGAUCUUAUUUGAAAUGUGUCGUUGAA
Molecule: long non-coding RNA, 1118 nt
Organism: Papaver somniferum (opium poppy)
Lineage: Eukaryota; Viridiplantae; Streptophyta; Magnoliopsida; Ranunculales; Papaveraceae
Exons: 4
Source: RefSeq, a predicted model, not a curated record